Molecule: ribosomal RNA, 327 nt
Filed under: uncultured eukaryote
Lineage: Eukaryota
Description: partial 18S ribosomal RNA
Rfam family: Eukaryotic small subunit ribosomal RNA
Source: RNAcentral
CCCUUAGAUGUCCUGGGCCGCACGCGCGCUACAAUGAUGCAACCAACGAGUGCUGCUCCUUGGCCGAGAGGCCCGGGGAACCUUGCAAACUGCAUCGUGCUGGGGAUAGAUGAUUGCAAUUCUUCAUCUUGAACGAGGAAUGCCUUGUAAGCGUGAGUCAUCAACUCGCGCUGAAUACGUCCCUGCCCUUUGUACACACCGCCCGUCGCUCCUACCGAUUGAAUGGUCCGGUGAAAUCUUCGGAUUGCUGAUCAAAUUCCAGCAAUGGAGCUUGAUUGCGAGAAGUUGAUUAAACCUUAUUAUUUAGAGGAAGGAGAAGUCGUAACA